Molecule: transfer RNA, 64 nt
Filed under: marine eukaryotic metagenome
Rfam family: tRNA
About the family: Transfer RNA (tRNA) molecules are approximately 80 nucleotides in length. Their secondary structure includes four short double-helical elements and three loops (D, anti-codon, and T loops).
Source: RNAcentral
CUUAGCUCAGUUGGAUAGAGCGACGGCCUUCUAAGCCGUAGGUCGCAGGUUCGAAUCCUGCAGG